This 450-nucleotide ribosomal RNA is filed under the name uncultured bacterium. RNAcentral describes it as "partial 16S ribosomal RNA". It matches the Rfam family "Bacterial small subunit ribosomal RNA", at positions 354 to 796 of the family's 1533-position model. The record is from RNAcentral.
GUGGGGAAUUUUGGACAAUGGGCGAAAGCCUGAUCCAGCCAUGCCGCGUGCAGGAUGAAGGCCUUCGGGUUGUAAACUGCUUUUGUACGGAACGAAAAGACUCCUUCUAAUAAAGGGGGUCCAUGACGGUACCGUAAGAAUAAGCACCGGCUAACUACGGGCCAGCAGCCGCGGUAAUACGUAGGGUGCAAGCGUUAAUCGGAAUUACUGGGCGUAAAGCGUGCGCAGGCGGUUAUAUAAGACAGAUGUGAAAUCCCCGGGCGCAACCUGGGAACUGCAUUUGUGACUGUAUAGCUAGAGUACGGUAGAGGGGGAUGGAAUUCCGCGUGUAGCAGUGAAAUGCGUAGAUAUGCGGAGGAACACCGAUGGCGAAGGCAAUCCCCUGGACCUGUACUGACGCUCAUGCACGAAAGCGUGGGGAGCAAACAGGAUUAGAAACCCGGGUAGUCC